GAUGAACGCUAGCUACAGGCUUAACACAUGCAAGUCGAGGGGCAGCAUGGUCUUAGCUUGCUAAGGCCGAUGGCGACCGGCGCACGGGUGAGUAACACGUAUCCAACCUGCCGUCUACUCUUGGACAGCCUUCUGAAAGGAAGAUUAAUACAAGAUGGCAUCAUGAGUCCACAUGUUCACAUGAUUAAAGGUAUUCCGGUAGACGAUGGGGAUGCGUUCCAUUAGAUAGUAGGCGGGGUAACGGCCCACCUAGUCUUCGAUGGAUAGGGGUUCUGAGAGGAAGGUCCCCCACAUUGGAACUGAGACACGGUCCAAACUCCUACGGGAGGCAGCAGUGAGGAAUAUUGGUCAAUGGGCGCAGGCCUGAACCAGCCAAGUAGCGUGAAGGAUGACUGCCCUAUGGGUUGUAAACUUCUUUUAUAAAGGAAUAAAGUCGGGUAUGCAUACCCGUUUGCAUGUACUUUAUGAAUAAGGAUCGGCUAACUCCGUGCCAGCAGCCGCGGUAAUACGGAGGAUCCGAGCGUUAUCCGGAUUUAUUGGGUUUAAAGGGAGCGUAGAUGGAUGUUUAAGUCAGUUGUGAAAGUUUGCGGCUCAACCGUAAAAUUGCAGUUGAUACUGGAUAUCUUGAGUGCAGUUGAGGCAGGCGGAAUUCGUGGUGUAGCGGUGAAAUGCUUAGAUAUCACGAAGAACUCCGAUUGCGAAGGCAGCCUGCUAAGCUGCAACUGACAUUGAGGCUCGAAAGUGUGGGUAUCAAACAGGAUUAGAUACCCUGGUAGUCCACACGGUAAACGAUGAAUACUCGCUGUUUGCGAUAUACAGCAAGCGGCCAAGCGAAAGCGUUAAGUAUUCCACCUGGGGAGUACGCCGGCAACGGUGAAACUCAAAGGAAUUGACGGGGGCCCGCACAAGCGGAGGAACAUGUGGUUUAAUUCGAUGAUACGCGAGGAACCUUACCCGGGCUUAAAUUGCAGAUGAAUUACGGUGAAAGCCGUAAGCCGCAAGGCAUCUGUGAAGGUGCUGCAUGGUUGUCGUCAGCUCGUGCCGUGAGGUGUCGGCUUAAGUGCCAUAACGAGCGCAACCCUUGUUGUCAGUUACUAACAGGUUCCGCUGAGGACUCUGACAAGACUGCCAUCGUAAGAUGUGAGGAAGGUGGGGAUGACGUCAAAUCAGCACGGCCCUUACGUCCGGGGCUACACACGUGUUACAAUGGGGGGUACAGAGGGCCGCUACCACGCGAGUGGAUGCCAAUCCCAAAAACCUCUCUCAGUUCGGACUGGAGUCUGCAACCCGACUCCACGAAGCUGGAUUCGCUAGUAAUCGCGCAUCAGCCACGGCGCGGUGAAUACGUUCCCGGGCCUUGUACACACCGCCCGUCAAGCCAUGGGAGCCGGGGGGUACCUGAAGUGCGUAACCGCGAGGAGCGCCCUAGGGUAAAACUGGU
Molecule: ribosomal RNA, 1441 nt
Filed under: uncultured organism
Description: 16S ribosomal RNA
Rfam family: Bacterial small subunit ribosomal RNA
Source: RNAcentral